RNAcentral lists this RNase P RNA (426 nucleotides) under Trueperaceae bacterium. RNAcentral describes it as "RNase P RNA component class A". It matches the Rfam family "Bacterial RNase P class A". Rfam says of the family: Ribonuclease P (RNase P) is a ubiquitous endoribonuclease, found in archaea, bacteria and eukarya as well as chloroplasts and mitochondria. Its best characterised activity is the generation of mature 5'-ends of tRNAs by cleaving the 5'-leader elements of precursor-tRNAs. Lineage: Bacteria; Thermotogati; Deinococcota; Deinococci; Trueperales; Trueperaceae. The record is from RNAcentral.
UGUGUGGGCGAUCUGGUCGCGACGCGCGCACGGCGCGGGCACGGCGCCCCUACGGGGCGCACGGCUCACGCGCACGCGUAUCGAGGAAAGUCCGGGCACCACAGGGCAGGGUGCCAGCUAACGGCUGGGCGCGUAAGGCGACGGCAAGUGCAACAGAAAGCAGACCGCGUCCGCGUUCGCUCAGCGGCGAGCACGGGCGUAAGGGUGAAACGGUGCGGUAAGAGCGCACCAGUGCCCCUGGUAACAGGGGCAGCUAGGUAAACCCCACCCGGUGCAAGGUCCGAUAGGGAGAGAGAGCCUGCCCGGCUCGUCAACAUCUCCGGGUUGACCGCUAGAGGUGCGCGGCGACGCGCGCCCGAGAUAGAUGACCAGACGCCUCGCCACCAGGCGGGGCAGACAGAACCCGGCUUAUCAGCCCACCAGCCU